RNAcentral lists this transfer RNA (76 nucleotides) under Bacillus cereus. Its description in RNAcentral is "tRNA-Lys". It matches the Rfam family "tRNA". From Rfam's summary of the family: Transfer RNA (tRNA) molecules are approximately 80 nucleotides in length. Their secondary structure includes four short double-helical elements and three loops (D, anti-codon, and T loops). The record is from RNAcentral. Lineage: Bacteria; Bacillati; Bacillota; Bacilli; Caryophanales; Bacillaceae.
GAGCCAUUAGCUCAGUUGGUAGAGCAUCUGACUUUUAAUCAGAGGGUCGAAGGUUCGAGGCCUUCAUGGCUCACCA